CAACAGCCAAACCCAUCUGUUCUCUGAUUGGAUUGUUAAAUUUGUGAUUGACAUGACAUUGACCAAGCAGCUGACAGGGUCAAAAUUUGUACAUGUAAGUUGAAAUCCACACCCAGCCAGGGAACCUGAGUGCAGAGUUUUGCACUUAGUUUUUUGCUUUAUAUCUGUAACCAGACCUUAACAAAAAAACUUAUAACUCGUGUAAAUAUUUUUUACAAACACAAAUCCUUUUUACACACAAAUUCUCAUCUAUAGAUGCACAAAGAUAACAUUUUAAUAUAUUUUGGUUUACAAGGUUACAAAGCUCAGUACACAAAUACACAUUUGAUUUACAAGUACAAAAUAUUUAUGACCACAAUUUGAGCCCAUACUAUUCCAGCAAAGUUUCUCAAAAAAAUCUUGUCAUAAUCUGUAUAAAAAAUAAAAAAUAAAAAAAAAUUCCAGGACAUGACAAAUAGAACAGAGGGAUUAUAAUAGUGGCCACAAGGGAAAAACAUUAUCUGGACAUCUUGAGAAUUUUUAGAAAAUGAGAUUUAUCUGUUUUUAGAUAUUUUAGUUUCUAUUUGAAACUGAAUUUUUUAAGUACUUAUUGUAAAUAUAUGUUUUAUAAUUGUUGAAAACCUUGGAAAUUUAACUAAAGCUUUCACUAGCAUGUGUAAAAACAACAUGGGUGAUUUUAUGUCCAAAAUAUCUGUGUUCUGUUCAAGUGUUUUUAGUCUAACGUAAUAACACUUUGUACCACAAGAUGGUAUGCUGAAUCAAUAUAACCCAUUAAGAACGUGUUUGUAUUCACCAGGUUGGCCUGGGAAAAGGCACUUGACGAAAUAAGGAAGCUAUUUCAGCUAGGCUGCUACGUCAAAAAACACCUACACACCCACUGUGCCAUCAGGUAUCAGCGCUUCAGUUCCAGUCAAGGGCUGCGUGUCUGAAAACAUCUGUACAGCAGUGUCCAACCUUUUAAGUCUCCCUGUCUUGAGUCUUGGGAACGUCAGCUGUUGUGAUAACAAUUUGUGUAAUACUGCUCUAACAACAACAACAUUCAUCUAUCUUCUAUUUGGACUCAUAUAUAUUAUCUAUUAGAAGAAAAUAAAAAGGCAUGAAACACCGUUGAAGCAUCAGAAAGGCUCAGAAAACCCCUUUUUCAAGACCUGAUUUGGCUUACGAAAUCCAAAUUUAGAUAAGAGGCUGGAGUCUGUCUGAAGCUGAGGUUCAAUAAAAAGGCAUCAAUAUAAAACAAAUAAAAAAACUGCAUACACACCAAUAUUUACUCGAUAUAUCAUACUUUCUGCAUGUUUUUUUUUUCUUUUAAUUAUCAAGGAAAUUGGGCAUUUUAAGGCUUGUGUGAAAUGUGGAACUCGAGCAUUCCCUGUAGUAGGAAAAAUAGUAUCAAUAUCUGAAAAUAAUGAAGAUUUAACUGAAACA
This 1422-nucleotide long non-coding RNA is filed under the name Oreochromis niloticus (Nile tilapia). RNAcentral describes it as "lncRNA (ENSONIG00000033347.1)". Lineage: Eukaryota; Metazoa; Chordata; Actinopteri; Cichliformes; Cichlidae. The record is from RNAcentral.